AGUGGGAUCCUGUUUUAAAAAAAAAAAAUAAAAAGAUUCUCAAAGAGAAUCUGCUGGUCUUGAUUCACUGGUCGGGGCCUUCAGUGUCCUGCUAGUGCCCAGAUCAGAAACACGG
Small nucleolar RNA from Apodemus sylvaticus (European woodmouse), 115 nucleotides. RefSeq annotates it as small nucleolar RNA SNORA3/SNORA45 family. The transcript has a single exon. NCBI's taxonomy places the organism in Eukaryota, Metazoa, Chordata, Mammalia, Rodentia, Muridae. The record is from RefSeq and is a predicted model, not a curated record.